This 123-nucleotide small RNA is filed under the name Streptococcus macacae NCTC 11558. Its description in RNAcentral is "Streptococcus sRNA SSRC34". It matches the Rfam family "Streptococcus sRNA SSRC34". From Rfam's summary of the family: It is based on computationally predicted coordinates (RNAz). The record is from Rfam by way of RNAcentral. Lineage: Bacteria; Bacillati; Bacillota; Bacilli; Lactobacillales; Streptococcaceae.
UGAAAACGUUUUAAAAUAAUAUCGUUCUUAAAAUUUCUUUAAAGAAAGAAGAAUGGUAUUUCUUCUAUAAAGUUCCUUCUUCUUUUGUCUAAGAAAAAAAUAUUAUAAGGAGGAAGAACAAGA